GACGAACGCUGGCGGCGUGCUUAACACAUGCAAGUCGAACGGAAAGGCCCUGCUUGCAGGGUACUCGAGUGGCGAACGGGUGAGUAACACGUGGGUGAUCUGCCCUGCACUUCGGGAUAAGCCUGGGAAACUGGGUCUAAUACCGGAUAGGAGCCAUUUUUAGUGUGAUGGUUGGAAAGUUUUUUCGGUGUAGGAUGAGCUCGCGGCCUAUCAGCUUGUUGGUGGGGUAAUGGCCUACCAAGGCGGCGACGGGUAGCCGGCCUGAGAGGGUGGACGGCCACAUUGGGACUGAGAUACGGCCCAGACGCCUACGGGAGGCAGCAGUGGGGAAUAUUGCACAAUGGGCGCAAGCCUGAUGCAGCGACGCCGCGUGGGGGAUGACGGCCUUCGGGUUGUAAACGCCUUUCGCUAGGGACGAAGCUUUUUGUGACGGUACCUAGAGAAGAAGCACCGGCUAACUACGUG
RNAcentral lists this ribosomal RNA (465 nucleotides) under uncultured bacterium. Its description in RNAcentral is "partial 16S ribosomal RNA". It matches the Rfam family "Bacterial small subunit ribosomal RNA", at positions 28 to 507 of the family's 1533-position model. The record is from RNAcentral.